This is a non-coding RNA of Pelobates cultripes (western spadefoot toad), 475 nucleotides long. Lineage: Eukaryota; Metazoa; Chordata; Amphibia; Anura; Pelobatidae. The record is from the annotation of a GenBank genome assembly.
GCCAGACUCUCUGUUCGUCAUCAGUUGAUAACCCAAUAGAAGCACUAGAGGUGUGGUUAUCUUCCAGAUCGCAAUUUAGUUAUUUGGUCUAUAGAGGGCAGUCUUGUCCCACUAAACAUACCUAUCCAGGAAAGAGUUAACUUUUCCUGGUGGCUAUUUUGACGUCAUUUUGCGUUAUCUUUAUAUUGCCAUAACUUAAAAUUUCAAAGGGUUUUCUCUUAGUUUUGUUCAGACUUAGUGUCUGCAAUUCCUGCUAUAAUUUCUAAAAUGGCAGAUCAUGAACUAAGUUUAACCUUUUCCGUACAAUGGUACCUUAUAUAUAUAUAGACAGUAAAAUUAAAUUAUUUAAUCUUCUCUGUCACAAAUGUCUGGGUUUAGAAUUGAUUAUAUUCCAUUAGCAUUUUAGACAGUCUAUCCAACCCCCCUUUCUGCUUAUCAUUUGGUUUGUAUAUACUAUGCAUUCCUUUAGCUCUGG